Alligator mississippiensis (American alligator) is the source of this 3656-nucleotide RNA transcript. It is a transcript of the gene named twist family bHLH transcription factor 2, with no coding region annotated. The transcript has 3 exons. The record is from RefSeq and is a predicted model, not a curated record. NCBI's taxonomy places the organism in Eukaryota, Metazoa, Chordata, Crocodylia, Alligatoridae.
AGUGAAGGGGGGAGGAAAAGAAGAAGAAGAGAAGAAAAAAAGGAGGUUUCUUUCCUCCCACUGCCCUGGCCCGGCCAAUGAGGAAGCAGCCCCGCGCCUCCCUCACUUCUGACAACUAUUUAGCAACUGAGCCCAGCUACAGUUUCCAAAAAAGUUAGAAAAACUUCCUCUCUCCAAGACCUCAAUUUUUGCACAAUCCUGUCCUUGAAAUCAGAGCCCUGCAAGCAACCUGGAAAACGUUUGCUCAGCAAAAAUAUAAACCCUCCUGUUUUUUUAUUUUGUGUUUGUGUUGUUUUUUUUUUGUUUUGUUUUGUUUUCCAAAGGAUCUGUCUCAGGAAUUUUAAAGCGUAUUUAAGACACACACACACACAACACAAGGAGGGGGGCAAAAAAAAAAAAACCCAAACCAAACCCAAGUCGCUUCCCCUCCCUUUCUUCACAGAAAGAAUGGAAGAAAGUUCCAGCUCUCCUGUUUCCCCCGUGGAUAGUUUGGGGACCAGUGAAGAGGAGCUGGAAAGGCAGCCAAAGAGAUUUGGCAGGAAGAGAAGAUACAGUAAGAAAUCCAGUGAAGAUGGCAGCCCCAACCCAGGCAAGAGGGGGAAAAAGUCUAGCCCCAGCUCCCAAUCUUAUGAAGAACUGCAAAGCCAGAGGAUCCUGGCCAAUGUCAGAGAGAGGCAAAGGACUCAGUCUCUCAAUGAAGCCUUUGCAGCCCUGAGGAAAAUCAUCCCCACGUUGCCUUCUGACAAACUCAGUAAAAUCCAGACCCUCAAGCUCGCAGCCAGGUACAUAGACUUCCUCUACCAGGUCCUACAGAGCGACGAGAUGGACAGUAAGAUGACAAGCUGCAGCUACGUGGCCCAUGAGAGGCUCAGUUACGCCUUUUCAGUGUGGAGGAUGGAAGGAGCGUGGUCCAUGUCUGCCUCACACUAGCCAGCAUCAGGGUAAAGCAAACACAACUGCCAAAGGGGGAGACCUAUAUGUAAGACUAUCUACAGUAUCAGAUCAUUACAAUUCCUGUACACCGAGGACAAGCAGUACGGUACAACUCUCAAAUGCAACAGCAAGAUGCAUUUCUGCCCCCAGGGGACACUGCCAUUUUCACAAGAGAAGGAAGAAGGAUUUAGUGCCUUCUUUGCUUGUGGACUUCCUCUAUUGUUGACUUUUGAUCCAGAGGUUGGUGGAUCUGCUGCUGUCCUCCUGACUAGGCCUCAAAGGACUGGGAGUAGACACUGGCAGCAUCCAUUCAUUCCUGUAGAGAUUAGAAACAAGGAACUUAUGGCCCUGAUUGCUCAAAAGCCUCAGGAGAGGAGACAGAGCAAGUCUAAAGGUUUUGGAGUUGGAAGGAACCUGCCUCCUCUUGGCCCUGUGACCUUGAGAUCCACAGAAGUACAGAAGCAGCACAAAGGAGCUGAAAGAAAAUAUACUUCUUUAUUGAAAGUAAAAUGGUGCAACCGACUUCUAGCAUAUAGAAGCAUUUCCACACUGCAAGUUAUUCUGAGAAAAAAAUGUGAUUUGCAAAUACAGUCAAAUGAAAUAUGCAUUUCCAAAUGCUACUAGGAUGACCAAACACAUCCUUGUCUGUAAGAAGUGUCCUGCAGACAUUAAAAAAUCCUUCAUGGGUAUAAGUGAGGAGGAGGUAGAUUGUGAUGAUGAAAGUGCAAGUAGCUGUUUCCAGCAUCCUCGAUCCAGAAGUCCUUCUACUGCUGCUGCUGCUGCUUCUAUAACAUCAGUAUUACAAAGGGUUGACCAAACAACAUCCUUAAGUAACCAAAUAUUGCAACCAACUGUAAGCAAAAGACUCUCAAUAGCCUCAUUUGUAGACAAGAUGACACCUGAAGAUCAGGAAAAAAUUGACCAAGCUCUUGAAAGAGCAAUAUAUUCUUCUGGGAUGCCAUUGUCAAUGAUUGAAAAUGCAUACUGACAGGAAGCUUUUAAAUUACUAAGACCAUCAUACCAUUUGCCCAGCAGACAUUCUUUGAGCAAUGCUCUUUUACAGUCAGAAUAUGAGCGUGCAAUGCAAUCUGUUCAAGGAAAAAUCAAUAAAGCACCAUGUCUUACAGUACUUACAGAUGGAUGGACAAAUGUUCAGGGAGAAGGAAUCAUAAAAUUGUGAUAACACCUCAACCAUUUUUUUACAGAAGCAUUAAAAUAGGAGAGAACAGGCAUACUGCAGAGUAUAUCAGUAGUAAAAUAUGUGAAGUCCUACAGAAGAUUGGGAGUGGUAAAGUACUUGCUUUGGUCACUGACAAUGCAAGUAACAUGAAAGCAGCAUGGGAUAUCAAAAUGGAUAAAUAUCCACAUAUUACUGCAACAGGAUGUGCAUCCCAUAGGCUAAACUUGCUUCUUAAUGACAUCAUGAAGUUGGACACUCUGCAAAAGAUCUAUAGAAGAGCAAAGAAGUUAUAAAACAUGUAAAAGCUACUCAUAUGUUACCUGCAGUCUUUAAGAAGAAGCAGGAAGAAAAGAAUGCAAAGAAUAAAAUAGUGACACAAACUCUAGUAAAACUAGUUGGGAUGGAGUGGUGAUCUCAUUUGAAAGUUUAGUAAAAAACAAAUAAACUCUUCAAGAAACAGUAAUAAUUGAUGAUCUUAAAGUACCCAGAAGUGUAAGGGACACUGUACUUGGUGAAGAUGUCUUCUGGGUUCAGCUGCAGAACUCCCUGAAGAUUCUAAAGCCAAUUUCUUCAGCAAUCACUGCAUCUGAAUCAGACAGUGCACUUUGUCAGACAUUCCUUACCAAAUGUCCCAGAUAAAAUCAACUGUUUUUGAGAAUCUAAGUGUAUUUUUGCUUACAAGUACAGAAGAAAGAAAAAUAAAAGACUUUAUUAACAAACAGGAAGAUUUUUGUUGCCAGUCAGUUCAUGCUUUUGCAAAUCUUUUGGAUCCAACAUUCAAAGGCAGAAAUGUUAGUGAUGAUAGCACUGCUACUGGAUUUGACUGGAUUACAAAACAAGCAACACGCUUAGGACUUGAUGUUGGAAAGGUACUUUUAAAUGUUGCAGAAUACUGAACAUCUUGAGGCAUUUGGUCCAAGAAUGCAGUCUGGUACUCUGCCAAGCGUAUCCCUCCUGCAACAUGGUAGCAAGGCCUUUGCACGACAUAGUCUCAACUCCUCUUGCUUCUCACCUGCUUCAGAUUCCUCCAUUUUCUGCAGCAUGUGAAAGAAACUGGUCUGUUUGGAAAUACUCACACCAAAUCAAGAAAUAAAUGAACAUGUGAAAUAGUAGAGAAGCUUGUCUCAAUCCGGGCAAACCUUCAGUUUUCAGAAGUCCAUGAAGAUGAUAAAAAUAAAGGAUCAGAAGAAUCAGAAGGAGCAGAAAAUGCUGAUAGUGAUAGCUCAGCAAAUGAGACUGAUUAGAAAAAGUUUCAUGUAGCAAAAUUUGUAUUCAAUGAGUCAUGUUUUUUUCCCUUUUUUUCUCAGCCCUUUUUCUAAAAAUGAGUGCUUUCUGUAUCUGCUUGACACUGUGGAAGAGACCAAGUCCAGAAUACAUAAUAACUUUCUUUGUUUUACUAUAAUGUUGAUUUUUUUUUCUAUUUUCAACUUUAAUUUUUGCCUGCUUCUCAUAAACUGGCAAGAACUAAGAGAUGCUAGGUUUCUUAGAGUUCAGCAGCUUGUAGCUCCAUUUGUAACAAAAAUUAAAAACAUUUUAAAGUAAA